UUAUUCGAUUAUCAAUUUUAU
This 21-nucleotide non-coding RNA is filed under the name Caenorhabditis elegans. Lineage: Eukaryota; Metazoa; Nematoda; Chromadorea; Rhabditida; Rhabditidae. The record is from RNAcentral.